This 72-nucleotide transfer RNA is filed under the name Aspergillus candidus. It matches the Rfam family "tRNA". From Rfam's summary of the family: Transfer RNA (tRNA) molecules are approximately 80 nucleotides in length. Their secondary structure includes four short double-helical elements and three loops (D, anti-codon, and T loops). The record is from Rfam by way of RNAcentral. Lineage: Eukaryota; Fungi; Ascomycota; Eurotiomycetes; Eurotiales; Aspergillaceae.
GGUUCUGUGGUCUAGUGGUUAUGACGUCGGAUUCUGAUUCCGUAAACCCCGGUUCAAUUCCGGGCAGGACCU